UACAAUGUCAACUCAAAUUUUCCAUAAACUAAACCCAGAUUUCUAAAUGCCAAACAAAUUCAUUUCCAUUUUACAUGAGGCAUAUAGAAUAGACAAGGUGAAAAUGUAAUUGCAAUCUAAAAACAAUCUACCAUCUUAAUUUCUCAAAUGCUGAUAUGCCUAUGGCUUUAGGAAUGUGGUAAUGCUUGCCUCAAUGUCAAUCGCAAUCUUCCAAAACUAAACCCUAUCAAGUAAACUAAAUCCUAUCAAGUAAUCAGUAAACCCAACAGGAAAAUAUAAACCCUAAUCCAAAUAUCACAAU
Molecule: long non-coding RNA, 301 nt
Filed under: Brassica napus (rape)
Lineage: Eukaryota; Viridiplantae; Streptophyta; Magnoliopsida; Brassicales; Brassicaceae
Description: long non-coding RNA (BNAP_LNC014653)
Source: RNAcentral